Lytechinus pictus (painted urchin) is the source of this 3745-nucleotide long non-coding RNA. RefSeq lists it as uncharacterized. The transcript has 3 exons. The record is from RefSeq and is a predicted model, not a curated record. NCBI's taxonomy places the organism in Eukaryota, Metazoa, Echinodermata, Echinoidea, Temnopleuroida, Toxopneustidae.
GUGCAAGCCAGCAGUACAGUACAGUGAUAGCUGAUUCACCUUCCUGGUCUCUAUUUUUCUUCGAAUUUACCGUUUUCUUCAUGUAUUGUGAUAUCCGAAUUCUGUUUUCGACAACUUCAGACUAUAAGGGAACCAGAACUGUGUUAUUUUGCCCGGUUUUUAUUGAAUUGUGAACUGGAAAGAUCGAUUUUGUCCACUCGACAGUCUUCGUUGUGUUGCUCUACUAACUAUUGAAAAACUCCAAGCUGCACGGUCCCAUUCACUUGCUCCCGAUGCAUGUUGCAGGUUACGCUGUUUGAUCCAGUCAAAAGUCAAGAUCUACACACUUGCUGACUCUGGUGACUUCUGGUCUCUGCUUGCUACCUCAAUCUGGGAGAUUCCAUCAUGUCCUUUUACUAUGAUUUGGAUAUAGCCAUUUUUUUCUUCACUCUUUCCAGGACCUACGGUUUGCAAGUUGUGGACUGAUAAUGAUACAAAAGAAAAAAUUUCUUUAUCAAUCUUGCAGUGCCCCAUAAUUAUGUUUUGUUAUCAGAUAUUUAACGUGCUGAUUUUUCUCGAAAGGUAACUCAUCGGUUCGAUGUCUGAAAGAGUUACCCUACUGGAUGAGGGAUCUAUCAUGUCAGUUGUUGCUUGUUCACAUCAGGAAGGACCUGCAGACUGAAUAAUGAGGAUCAUAAUGAUGCCGGUUGUUGUGGUUUGCAGAGUGAAGGACUUUUGGCAGAAACAAAAGAUUUUUAGCUAUAUAGUUGAACCUGGGGUCUUUGUGACGUAUCAGGAUUCUGAAAUUAUAAGAGUAGAUUUUUGGUAGCAGAUAUAGGCCUGUCUGUUAUAACACGCACAUGUAGAUUUUGCUAUUGGAUCAUUUAUUUACCGAUUGUCAGUUGAAGACGUUAUUUUUAUUAAUUCAAACGUAAUGCAUAAUUUUUUUUUUUUCUGAUUUAAAAUGAGAUUUGGAUAGUAUUUUCAAAUAUUUAAUUUAUACAAGCUCAAUUUUUUAUAUUCUGACGUGAAAACUGGACCAAAUAUACCUAGAAUGGUUGUGUGAGCGCGAAGUUUUAUUUCAUAAUAAUUAUUUUUGUAUUGAUAUUAAUAGAACAGUUCGGAUUUACAUAUUUUAAGCAUGCCUUACAUAGCAGGAACUGAAUAGAUCAGUUGAGUAGAAAUAGAUUUCCAUGAACACUUUAGUACUAUAUAAUGUACUAGUCCACCCCAACGAAAAGCUGAUUAGAAUAAGAGAAAAACCCAAUUAAAAUCUGAUGGAAAGUUAUGCUUAAUUUCAUAAAAUAGUUAUAUGCACAUCCUGGAUGGUAUGCAAAUGAGAUUAUGACGUCAUUCACUCACUAUUUUUAUUGUAUAUUAUUAUAAGUGAUACAACGAUUAAUAUCUGAACAUGUGGAAUUAAAUUAGGAGUGGGCUAUACAUGGGUCAAAAAAACUUUUUUUGUCAUUUUAAUAUGGUAACAGUUUUUUAUUUAUUGCUUGUAAUGUAUCUCAACAUGAAAUGACAAUAUUUUUUGUCUCCGAUCCGAGAAAAAAGUGCCGGGCCAAAUACCAAAACCCCCCAAAUCACAGUUUUGGCCUUUUUCUCUGGUUUUGGUGUCUAUUCAUAUGUUUUACUUAAAAAACAGUAUUUGUAGAGGUAAAAGGUGAUUUCACCUAAAUUUACAAAUUUUUAAACCCUGUUCUAUCGUCUUGUGGUUCUUGGGUAUGGACCAUAGCAAGUAGUUUCAUAUAGCUUUAUUGCUCUUAUUCCUCUACUUUAUGUUUUAUGGAUUUUUGCGAAAUAUAUUUUAUUAAUUUAAAAAAGUCAUUUAUCCAUAGGGGCUAUAUAUACAGUAUAGUACAAUGCAUAGUGUUAUAGAAAUGAGCUCUUGAAUUAUGCCUCAGAAAUUGAAGAUACUGUAUAUUUUGUCCCAGGAAUUGAAGACAUGUUUUGCAAUAUGCUCAUGCAGGGGGCGGAGAGAGGAAAAUAGUCAACCCCACAUUAUGUCAUUUACACUGUGGCUAUUUUGUUACGCUUAUUGUAACUUUGCCAUCCAAUCCUGGAUUCUGAUUGGCCAUUGAUCAGCAUUACCAUGGUAGUUACCUUAUAGUCCAGGAUAGGCCCCAUAGAAAAUUGACCAAACCUUGUUUUUUUAUAUAUACAAUAUUUUUUGAUGGUUUCUUGUCAAUUCGAGGGUGCUGAUUACGAAUCUGGAUGAUGCCACUCGUGUAACCUUGAGCAUUUUCCGCAAAUUGGCAAAAUCCAAUAUGGCCGCCAAAAUAUGCAAAUUACCCAUGAAAAUCAUAAAAUUGUGUGGCAGGAGUGAAAUACUUUCUGAAAAAAUUAAUUUUUGACAAAAUAUUUUUUCCUGAUAUUAAAAAUGGCCGCCAUAUGCCAUUGCAUACUCUAUUUUGUACAAUAUGAAUAGGGAAAACUAAUUUCCACAAAAAAUGAGCACUAAACUGCAAAAAUCGCGAUGUAUGAACAAAGUAAUAUUUGCAAAUUACUAACGAGAUAUAUCAUAUCAUAUAUAGGAACAUUGCUGUAUUUUGAUAUCUAAAAUAGUCGCCACUGGCCCAAAGAGUAUUAUGAACAAUGGCAAUGACUGGGGCCAACAAAAAUGCAUAUUAUUAAGAUAAACGAGUGGAAUACUGACUAAAACAUAAUUCUUAGUGUGCCAUUUAUGUGAUAAAUACUGUAUUUUGAAAUUCAAAAUGGCCACCAUAGACCCUAUAUUUAUCAUGUACAAUGCGAAUGGAGAAACUAAUUUUCACCCGAGUAAGAAACAAAAAAUGCAUGUAAUUGUGAUCUACGAGUAAAAUAUUGUCUGAUUCACAUGUUAUUAUAUACAAUGUGAAAAGGGACAUAUUUUUGUAAGAAUUUGCUUGACUAUGACAUCCAUUAUAAUCCUGUUGUAUGAGUAAAAUGUUAUUUGAAAACAUUUUUUUUUUUUAAUUAUAGCAUUUCUUCUGCCAUAUAGGUGAUAAAUACUUUAUUUUGACAUAAAAAAUAACCUCUACAAGCCCUAACUAAAAUGUAACAUGUGAAAAUAUUGUCUUAAACAUAAUAUCACAUAUUGGUCGUGGAGGUAAUUGCUAUACUUUGAAAUCCAAAAUAGCUGCCAUAGGUCCUAAAAGUCAUUGUGUACAUUGUAACAUGCUGGGACAUAUAAUUGACAGAAUUUGGCAUUGCUUGACAAAACCAUGGUUUCUAACUAGAUAUAUCAUAAUGUUGUGUAAUUAAGGAGAUAAAUGCUGCAUUUUAAAAUUGAAAAUGACCACCAUAGGCCCUUAUUGUAUAAUAUAGAAUUUGAGUGGAGAUGCAGCCAUUUUGAAAUGCAGUAUUUAUCACCUAAAAAGAUAUGAUAUCUUUUGUUCAUGUUUUCAGACAAUAUUUCAUUCAUACAUCACCAUUUGGCCAAGCAAAGCCAAAUUCUGUUAAAAUGAUUUGUUCCCAUUCUGCAUAAUAUCGUAAGGGCCUGUAGCGGCCAUUGUGAUUUUCAAAUAACAAUAUUUUACAUGCAUUUAUGGUGCUCACUAUUAGUUUCCCACUUUUCAUGUACCAAAUACAGUUAAUUCUUUGGCGGCCAUUUUGAAAGUCAUAUUUUGAGAAAACUUUUUCACAAAUAUUUCACUCAUAUUUAGAUUUGUAACAAGCCUCCAAAUGAAGAACCUAAUUAAUAGCCUUUUAUCAACACAGAUUUUUUUCCGGACUUUUAUGUUAAGGAUGUAUUGUGAUGAAAUAAAACACGAUUGAAGUCCUG